Musa acuminata subsp. malaccensis (wild Malaysian banana) is the source of this 106-nucleotide non-coding RNA. NCBI's taxonomy places the organism in Eukaryota, Viridiplantae, Streptophyta, Magnoliopsida, Zingiberales, Musaceae. The record is from Rfam.
GCUCAAGUUGCGCACUUGCUGUAAAUAUGGACAGAGAACAAUUUGGUGGAAUUUAGGUGGGCUUUCUGUGAGACGUGGGGAGUCCAUAAAGGGCCACCAUACACAU